Molecule: long non-coding RNA, 743 nt
Organism: Passer montanus (Eurasian tree sparrow)
Lineage: Eukaryota; Metazoa; Chordata; Aves; Passeriformes; Passeridae
Exons: 4
Source: RefSeq, a predicted model, not a curated record
AACAGCGAGACUGGGAAGCUCUCUGCUUCAAAACCUGCAGGCUAACCGAGGGCCAGCUGCAAGUGGUUUGUACCGCCCGCCUCCAGGAGAGGGAAAGCAGGGAAGCGCAGCUCCUACAGCCCCAGCAAUCCACGGGACAUUUUGGAUUCCCAGGGGACAAGAGCUACCUCAGAAGAAGACCAGACCCUUCUACGUGAUCACUGCCUGAAGAGAACCGCAUCCAUCACUCCAGGAGGACUGCAGCCACCAUUUAAUAGGACUGCUGCCACCACCCUGACCCCCAGGGUGCCACGGACCUCAGGAACACAUUUACAGGAGGAGACCAACGCGUACCUUGGCCAGGAUUAGAGGAACCCUGCCUCUAGCCAGGUGGAGGAAAGAGACAAUUCUACUGGACUGUGUGGAUGCCAUGGCCUGUCUGCCCCACAAAGGAGGAUCCCACAGCUGACGUGCAUUUGUAUGGGAAGGAGUGGCACAAACAUUCCACGGUGGCUGGCCCUGAGACCCUGCAUCCUCAGCACAGACCAUCUCAGAAAUGGGUAUUUCAAGUACAUCAUUGGGUUUUGGGAUUGCUGCUGCAGAGACAGAAACCUGAACACCCUGCCUGGUCUCUCAGAUGAGCCCCUUGCUGCUGGACUGCUGAGAGUUGAAGAGUUGAAGAACAACAGGUACCAAUCACCACAGCAACACUGCACCAUCAACAAUUCUUCAUCAUAACAUAAAUUUGCUGUGGAACAUCUCAA